This 426-nucleotide ribosomal RNA is filed under the name uncultured bacterium. RNAcentral describes it as "bacterial SSU rRNA". It matches the Rfam family "Bacterial small subunit ribosomal RNA", at positions 354 to 796 of the family's 1533-position model. The record is from RNAcentral.
GCAAGGAAUAUUGGGCAAUGGGCGAAAGCCUGACCCAGCGACACCGCGUGAGGGAAGAAGGCCUUCGGGUUGUAAACCUCUUUUCUCGGGGAAGAAUAAUGACGGUACCCGGGGAAUAAGCCUCGGCUAACUACGUGCCAGCAGCCGCGGUAAUACGUAGGAGGCGAGCGUUAUCCGGAUUUACUGGGCGUAAAGCGGGCGUAGGUGGCUUAUCAAGUCGGAUGUGAAAUCUCCCGGCUUAACUGGGAGGGUGCAUCCGAAACUGAUGGGCUAGAGUGCACCAGAGGGAGAUGGAAUUCCCGGUGUAGUGGUGAAAUACGUAGAUAUCGGGAAGAACACUAGUGGCGAAAGCGGUCUCCUGGGAUGUAACUGACACUGAGGCCCGAAGGCGUGGGUAGCAAACAGGAUUAGAUACCCUUGUAGUCC